This 497-nucleotide ribosomal RNA is filed under the name uncultured bacterium. RNAcentral describes it as "partial 16S ribosomal RNA". It matches the Rfam family "Bacterial small subunit ribosomal RNA", at positions 28 to 507 of the family's 1533-position model. The record is from RNAcentral.
GAUGAACGCUGGCGGCGUGCCUAAUACAUGCAAGUCGAGCGAACAGACGAGGAGCUUGCUCCUCUGACGUUAGCGGCGGACGGGUGAGUAACACGUGGAUAACCUACCUAUAAGACUGGGAUAACUUCGGGAAACCGGAGCUAAUACCGGAUAAUAUAUUGAACCGCAUGGUUCAAUAGUUAAAGACGGUUUUUCUUUGACUUAUAGACGGAUCCGCGCCGCAUUAGCUAGUUGGUAAGGUAACGGCUUACCAAGGCAACGAUGCGUAGCCGACCUGAGAGGGUGAUCGGCCACACUGGAACUGAGACACGGUCCAGACUCCUACGGGAGGCAGCAGUAGGGAAUCUUCCGCAAUGGGCGAAAGCCUGACGGAGCAACGCCGCGUGAGUGAUGAAGGUCUUCGGAUCGUAAAACUCUGUUAUUAGGGAAGAACAAAUGUGUAAGUAACUAUGCACGUCUUGACGGUACCUAAUCAGAAAGCCACGGCUAACUACGUG